Molecule: microRNA precursor, 124 nt
Filed under: Prunus dulcis (almond)
Lineage: Eukaryota; Viridiplantae; Streptophyta; Magnoliopsida; Rosales; Rosaceae
Description: sRNA ncRNA
Source: RNAcentral
GAGAGAGAGAGAGAGAGAGAGGGGAUGAGGGAGUAACAAAAGUGGAAACAAUUUUAUUUAGUUUCUAGUUUUUAUUUACACUUUUGUUACUCCUCCCUCCCAUCCUCCCAUCUCAUCUCUUCCC